UCCGGCUUAUCACCGGCAGUUUUCUCAGAGUGCUCAGCUUGACCUGGUAGCAACAGAGAAUGAGGGUUGCGCUCGUUGCGGGACUUAACCCAACAUCUCACGACACGAGCUGACGACAGCCAUGCAGCACCUGUGCUCCUCCCACCCGAGGUGAAGGAACGCCUUUCAGCGCUCCAAAGAGGGCAAGUCGAGUCCUGGUAAGGUUCUUCGCGUUGCCUCGAAUUAAACCACAUGUUCCACCGCUUGUGCGGGUCCCCGUCAAUUCCUUUGAGUUUUAAUCUUGCGACCGUACUCCCCAGGCGGGAUGCUUAACGCGUUAGCUACGCCACUGAAGGGGAACCCCCCAACGGCUAGCAUCCAUCGUUUACAGCGCGGACUAC
This 380-nucleotide unclassified non-coding RNA is filed under the name uncultured Rickettsiales bacterium. Its description in RNAcentral is "contains 16S-23S intergenic spacer region". Lineage: Bacteria; Pseudomonadati; Pseudomonadota; Alphaproteobacteria; Rickettsiales. The record is from RNAcentral.